Molecule: ribosomal RNA, 253 nt
Filed under: uncultured bacterium
Lineage: Bacteria
Description: partial 16S ribosomal RNA
Rfam family: Bacterial small subunit ribosomal RNA
Source: RNAcentral
UACGAAGGGGGCUAGCGUUGUUCGGAAUCACUGGGCGUAAAGCGCACGUAGGCGGAUUUUUAAGUCAGGGGUGAAAUCCCGAGGCUCAACCUCGGAACUGCCUUUGAUACUGGAGAUCUUGAGUCCGGAAGAGGUAAGUGGAACUGCGAGUGUAGAGGUGAAAUUCGUAGAUAUUCGCAAGAACACCAGUGGCGAAGGCGGCUCACUGGCCCGGUACUGACGCUGAGGUGCGAAAGCGUGGGGAGCAAACAGG